AACGAACGCUGGCGGCACGCUUAACACAUGCAAGUCGAACGAGUAGCAAUACAAGUGGCGCACGGGUGAGUAAUACAUAGGAAUCUACCUAGAAGAUAGGGAUAACUAUUGGAAACGAUAGCUAAUACCUAAUAAGCUCGGAAGAGGAAAGUAGCAAUACGCUUUUAGAUGAGCCUAUGGCUGAUUAGCUAGUUGGUAGGGUAAAGGCCUACCAAGGCAAUGAUCAGUAGCUGUUCUUAGAGGAAGACCAGCCACACUGGAACUGAGACACGGCCCAGACUCCUACGGGAGGCAGCAGUGGGGAAUAUUGGACAAUGGGCGCAAGCCUGAUCCAGCCAUGCCGCGUGAGUGAUGAAGGCCUUAGGGUUGUAAAGCUCUUUCACCGAUGAAGAUAAUGACGGUAGUCGGAGAAGAAGCCCCGGCUAACUUCGUGCCAGCAGCCGCCGUAA
Molecule: ribosomal RNA, 449 nt
Filed under: uncultured bacterium
Lineage: Bacteria
Description: partial 16S ribosomal RNA
Rfam family: Bacterial small subunit ribosomal RNA
Source: RNAcentral